RNAcentral lists this ribosomal RNA (606 nucleotides) under uncultured Lachnospiraceae bacterium. RNAcentral's name for it is "bacterial SSU rRNA". It matches the Rfam family "Bacterial small subunit ribosomal RNA", at positions 82 to 704 of the family's 1533-position model. The record is from RNAcentral. Lineage: Bacteria; Bacillati; Bacillota; Clostridia; Lachnospirales; Lachnospiraceae.
CUUUCUCGAGCGAGUGGCGAACGGGUGAGUAACGCGUGAGGAACCUGCCUCAAAGAGGGGGACAACAGUUGGAAACGACUGCUAAUACCGCAUAAGCCCACGGGUCGGCAUCGACCAGAGGGAAAAGGAGCAAUCCGCUUUGAGAUGGCCUCGCGUCCGAUUAGCUAGUUGGUGAGGUAAUGGCCCACCAAGGCGACGAUCGGUAGCCGGACUGAGAGGUUGAACGGCCACAUUGGGACUGAGACACGGCCCAGACUCCUACGGGAGGCAGCAGUGGGGAAUAUUGCACAAUGGGGGAAACCCUGAUGCAGCGACGCCGCGUGGGGGAAGAAGGUCUUCGGAUUGUAAACUCCUGUUGUUGAGGAAGAUAAUGACGGUACUCAACAAGGAAGUGACGGCUAACUACGUGCCAGCAGCCGCGGUAAAACGUAGGUCACAAGCGUUGUCCGGAAUUACUGGGUGUAAAGGGAGCGCAGGCGGGAAGACAAGUUGGAAGUGAAAUCUAUGGGCUCAACCCAUAAACUGCUUUCAAAACUGUUUUUCUUGAGUAGUGCAGAGGUAGGCGGAAUUCCCGGUGUAGCGGUGGAAUGCGUAGAUAUCGGGAGG